Molecule: long non-coding RNA, 1627 nt
Filed under: Homo sapiens (human)
Lineage: Eukaryota; Metazoa; Chordata; Mammalia; Primates; Hominidae
Description: HSALNT0037560
Source: RNAcentral
UUGGCACUAUCCCCUUGGUAAUUUCCUCAGGAUAGUGAGUUCUCACUAUGCUUGUUUAAAAGUGUGUGGCACCUCCCCCUUCACUCUCUUUGCUCCUGCUCUGGCAGUGUGACAGGUAAGCUUCUUCUUUGCCUUCUGCCAUGACUGGAAGCUUCCUGAGCCCUCCCCAAAAUCAGAAGCCUGCUAUGGUUCCUCUACAGCCUGCAGAGCUGUGAGCCAACUAAACCUCUUUUUUUUUUUUUUUUGAGAUGGAAUCUCACUCUGUCAUCAGGCUGGAAUGCAGUGGCACAAUCUCGGCUCACUGCAACCUCUACCUCCCAGGUUCAAGCGAUUCUCCUGCCUGAACUGAUUGAAAUUUGAUGUCAAGCCUCAAGCUGGGAGUAACAGGAGGAAGUGAGCCUCUGGAAACUGCUGUUCUACCGAGGACUCGUGAUCGGCUGCACCUGGCUAGAUUCUGGACUAUCACUGCCCUUACCAGCCAGCUUCGGCCAGCUAAAGUCAGCUGCUCUUUGUGGUUGACAUAAAUUUCAUUUGACAUUUCUACUGACUUCAGAAACUUUUGCCAAUAGAACAUGUGAUGGGGAGACCAGUAUGAAAUACUGAACCUCCUCCUGCACGCCUCCACGCCCUUGUGUAACCUUCUGAUCAUUAUAUAUAUAUACACACACAUAUAUAUCAAUCUUUAUACACACACACAUACACUCACACACACACACACAUAUAUAUAUAUACAGUCCCUUCAGUGACACAGCAUCACCGUGACAGCCACUAUAGCAGCACUUGCAACCUAUCAGUGGUUCUUAAUUCUGGCUACAUCUUAGAAUCACCUAAGGAGCUUUAAAAAAAAUGGCAACGUGUGGGCUCCAUCCCAGACAAAUUGAAACCAAAUCUCUUUCACAGGUAAGACCUGAGUAUCAGAGCCUUUUAAAAGCCCUAGAGGUGAUUCUUAUGCACCAUGUGGGGCUGAGAAUCACUGUUACCAGGCAGGCAGUGAGGUAAUGCAGUUCCCCUACUGAAGUGCAGGUCUGUAAGAACUUGGUGUGCCAAAUGUAAAUUCUCAAGGCAGGGAUCCAGGCACUAAAUAAUGCCAUCAUUGUUUACAGUUCUGAUGGGACCUAAUCCAUCAUUUCAUCCAAUCUCCUUAGUUUUCACAUGUGUAAAUAACUCCAAAGAUGUGAGUUGCCAAGGUUACCUGAUUUGCUCUUCUCCCCAGAAGAUCUGAGAGCCCCUUCAGGCUGGGACCUCACAGCAGGGCACUGCUUUCUGGCAAAAGCCCUCCCUCUCCUGAUUGUCACUGGCCCAGCUUCAGGGGAAGGCGGCCCUUCUAGCACAAUGCCAGAUGUGGGCACCUUUCUAGCUAGGCCUCUCCUCACCCAGCUCAGCAGCCUUGCUCACCUGAGAUGAAUGCCUAUCAAGUCACAGAUGCCACCAAGAGGGCUGGUGCAGCAUCACUAAGAUCACACAGAAUGUGCCGCUGUGAUCAGGAUGUGAGCUGCCCCAAAACAAGAUGGGGCAACUGCAUUUCUGGAACUGCCAGAAAUAUUAAUUCAUAUCAUUACUACAAGUUCCUUCUUGAAGACUUCUGAGUAGACACUGGUUAGUAUUUACAAGGACAUUAAAAACCUCC